GUCCCGGUAGCUCAGUUGGUAGAGCACAUGACUGUUAAUCAUGGGGUCAGAGGUUCGAGUCCUCUCCGGGACG
RNAcentral lists this transfer RNA (73 nucleotides) under Candidatus Pacearchaeota archaeon. Its description in RNAcentral is "tRNA-Asn". It matches the Rfam family "tRNA". Rfam says of the family: Transfer RNA (tRNA) molecules are approximately 80 nucleotides in length. Their secondary structure includes four short double-helical elements and three loops (D, anti-codon, and T loops). The record is from RNAcentral. Lineage: Archaea; Nanobdellati.